CCCUUCUGGUCACCUGGGGAGCACAGGUGCAACCAAUCUGCCUGCAUUCCCUGGGACAGCCUCACCCCUUCACCAGAACACAAAGGACACCAACCAAGAAUAAACGCAGAAAUUAACCUACCCAGAAAAGCAAAGCAAGACUAGUAUGCAGAAACACCAUUUUAAAUAUUCCAGAAAUUAAUUAAAAGGUGAAGAAAAUAAGCAGCAGAGGAAAUACUUAAAUUUUUAUCUUCCUCCUGAAAGCUGAGCAGCAUAACUAUUUGAUACAGAUGGAAUAACUACAUCACUUUUCCCCUGAGAAACAACUAAACCUCCAGGAACUCUUCAAUAAAGAAGGUAGAUUAGAGCAGCGAUAUGGAGAAGCCACUUAGUCUACAUGAACGUUUUGAUCUACCUGCAGAAACACAAGAGCAGAGAGGUGAGCUGAGCAGGAUCCUGGGAGAUGCAGCAUCCCCAGCUAAGACACCACAGCUUUAAAUGGGCAUGGCUUCUCACAGCAUUGCAGGAGUGUUGCAUACUGAUGUCUCUUCAUAGCCCCUUGCCACGAGGAACUGUGAUAUCCUUUCAGAGACAAUAAAGGGUUAUAACUUCAGCAGAAAUCAGCUAUGUGCCCACAGCUUUAUUUUCCUGUCUUCCCCCACUGGUAUCCUACACAAACAGUUUAAUUAAUUUACACAAAGGGAUGGUGUGAAGUCAGACCACUGUGUUCCGUAUUCCAGAAUAACUAGCAGGCAUUGUCUGCAAGUAUCCCUUAGCUGGAAAAUACUAUUAAUUGGCACCAACUGUUCAAACAUAAUUACAGCCACAACACCCAUCAGUUGACUCGCUUGUUUUUCACAUCUGCAAAGCAAUAACUGCCCUGACACAGGCAGCAAACUCUUUCCUGUGAAUUCUGCUAUCAGACAGAAGGCAAACAGCACUACUGCCCCAUCCCCUGUGGCUAAUGUGGAAAGUUCCACCCACAGACCGUUUUGUUUUCACAAUCUUGAGCCUGUGAUGUGCAGCAAGGAUCUGCCUGCUUUGAAUCCCUGACUCAUUUCCAUCUCACACUCAGCUCAGAUUAAGCCCUCCGAGGACAACCCACGUGCUCUUGCUCUACAAUCCAAAGCACAAAGAUGAGGUGUAGCUUCUCCCCAUUACCAUCUCUGUGUUUCUUUUGCUGAUUAUUUGCCCUCUUCUCCAAGGACAAGAAGAAAAUCAAGCCAGCCUAAAGCCCCGUAACAGGGGAGUUUUUAACUGCUUUCACUCAAACAUAAAAGGUAAACUUCAGGUUUGAUUCACCUGGAAUAAAACGGCCACUUCUUACUCACCACCACGGCCUGAACUGCCCCAAAUUUCUGAAAAUUUCUGCUUUUCUUGCUCAUUUAGAGAGUCAUCUCAUGUUAAGUGACAACUCUUAGGUACUAAGGCGGACAUUCCCAACAACCAAUGGCAAUGGGUGCCACGGCACGGCGCUGACCCAAACCUAUUAGAUCCAACGUAUGCUCAGCACGUAGGAAAGUGGACCAAGAAAGAGCAAUCAACCACUGUGGGAACACCCAAGAAAACACUUUCUCAACAGCCUUCCUGUAUUGAAAAGAAACCAAUUCUCCUUGCAAGUCACUCGCAGAAAAUUUUAAUAUUUUGCCAAAUAUACAGCUAUUAGAAUUACCCUAAGUAUCAAUUAGAAUUAAAUUACAAAAGUUGGUAGAUAGCAUAGUACAAUAUUCUAUAAAAUAAAGACAUGUAAU
Meleagris gallopavo (turkey) is the source of this 1730-nucleotide non-coding RNA. Lineage: Eukaryota; Metazoa; Chordata; Aves; Galliformes; Phasianidae. The record is from RefSeq and is a predicted model, not a curated record.